UAGAACGUUGGCGGCGUGGAUUAGGCAUGCAAGUCGCGCGACAAGUUUUCCAGCUUGCUGGAGAAUUGAGGAGCGGCGAAAGGGAGAGUAACACGUGGAUACCUGCCCUUGGCUCUGGGAUAGCAGCGGGAAACUGCUGGUAAUACCGGAUAAUGUCCCCGGACCAAAGGUGUGAUUCCGGCCGAGGAUGGGUCCGCGUCCUAUUAGGUUGUUGGUGAGGUAAUGGCUCACCAAGCCGAAGAUGGGUACCGGGCGUGAGAGCGUGGCCCGGCUCACUGGGACUGAGACACUGCCCAGACACCUACGGGUGGCUGCAGUCGAGAAUCUUCCGCAAUGGACGCAAGUCUGACGGAGCGACGCCGCGUGCGGGAUGAAGGCCUUCGGGUUGUAAACCGCUGUCAGUGGGGAGCAAAUGCAUUGGGGCUAUCUCCAUUGCUUGAGCAAUCCGCAGAGGAAGUACGGGCUAAGUUCGUGCCAGCAGCCGCGGUAAC
This 491-nucleotide ribosomal RNA is filed under the name uncultured bacterium. RNAcentral describes it as "bacterial SSU rRNA". It matches the Rfam family "Bacterial small subunit ribosomal RNA", at positions 31 to 524 of the family's 1533-position model. The record is from RNAcentral.